GCUACAGUGUGACGCGCGAGUCAUCAGGAAGUGAGAGCCGUGGUGUGUACUUUACUCUAGCUUUUGCUGGUGUUGCACUGAUGAUGGCCAUGGUAGUUGGUAUUGUUGUUCUUCGGCGUAGGAACAGCACCAACCCCCACAAUCAAGGAUUUAUGGAAGUGGACCAGGCCAUCACUCCAGAAGAGAGGCAUGUAGCUAAUAUGCAGGUCAAUGGUUAUGAAAACCCCACUUAUAAAUAUUUUGAAGAAAAAUAAACAAGCGAACAAGGGGCAUUUAUACAUCCCAUAUAAAUAAGAGGGGAACCAUUCGUCCGUUUUCCCAACAUCAGACACCUGUUGACUGAGAGCAUUAAUUAUAGACUGAGAACUUACAAGUGACCCCAAACUAGGUUGCUUUAAGGGUCAUUUACAUAAGAAAUGGUAAAUGGAGAUAUUGGGUAAGUGGUAGCAAAGCUAAGCUCACAGGUGCUGAUGGUAUGCAUUGUGAUUUCAGAAUCAUCAGUUGUCAAUACAGUCAA
Cherax quadricarinatus is the source of this 517-nucleotide non-coding RNA. The record is from RefSeq and is a predicted model, not a curated record. Lineage: Eukaryota; Metazoa; Arthropoda; Malacostraca; Decapoda; Parastacidae.